CGGGAUGUAGCUCAGCCCGGUAGAGCGUUCGGUUCGGGACCGAAAGGUCGCAGGUUCAACUCCUGUCAUCCCGACCA
RNAcentral lists this transfer RNA (77 nucleotides) under Deltaproteobacteria bacterium. Its description in RNAcentral is "tRNA-Pro". It matches the Rfam family "tRNA". Rfam says of the family: Transfer RNA (tRNA) molecules are approximately 80 nucleotides in length. The record is from RNAcentral. Lineage: Bacteria; Pseudomonadati; Myxococcota; Myxococcia.